RNAcentral lists this ribosomal RNA (253 nucleotides) under uncultured bacterium. RNAcentral's name for it is "partial 16S ribosomal RNA". It matches the Rfam family "Bacterial small subunit ribosomal RNA", at positions 524 to 776 of the family's 1533-position model. The record is from RNAcentral.
GACAGAGGUCCCGAGCGUUAGGCGGAAUCACUGGGCUUAAAGCGUGUGUAGGCGGCGGCCUAAGUACCUUGUGAAAUCCCACGGCUCACCCGUGGAACUGCUCGGUAUACUGGGUCGCUUGAGCCACUUAGGGGCUACCGGAACAAAUGGUGGAGCGGUGAAAUGCGUAGAUAUCAGGAGGAACACCGAUGGCGAAGGCAGGUCUCUGGGCCACUACUGACGCUGAGAAGCGAAAGCGUGGGGAGCGAACAGG